Long non-coding RNA from Galeopterus variegatus (Sunda flying lemur), 526 nucleotides. RefSeq lists it as uncharacterized. The transcript is spliced from 4 exons. NCBI's taxonomy places the organism in Eukaryota, Metazoa, Chordata, Mammalia, Dermoptera, Cynocephalidae. The record is from RefSeq and is a predicted model, not a curated record.
ACCUGACCUCAGUAGGAGAAAACUGGAAGUGCCACGGCACCAAAGAUCCGCCCAAGAACUAGGGGACACAAUUGAGGCUUUCUGAAGUACCCUCGUAUUUCUGGGCACCACCCAGCUAAGCACUGUACCUAUUUGGGAUGAGCAAGAUACAGUUUGUGCCUCCAGGGAGCUCACAGCACUGGAAGAACAGAUCAGUCGGCCAGCACCUCUGUUCCCAGAGGCAGGGAUGGCCACUGGGUGGUUCCUGCAGCCCCAGCAGUCAACAUGGGCCCUGCACGCAGUAGGUGUUCAAGAAGCACUUGAGGAACUGCAUUUACUUGGAAUGAGAAACAGUUACGUCAGUGACCACCAAAUAAAGCAGACAGUAGAUGGCCAAAGUGAAGGGUCCUGCAGGGGCCACCAGGACCCAGGAUUGGGAGGAUGGACGAUCCCAAAGGGAGGCAGCUGCCAAUCACCUGGCACCUGCACGUGCCCGAUGCAGGGCUGUGUGCCCUCUGCAGACUCUCAUUAAAUUCCUAAAACCUUC